GCUGGAACUUCUGGAAUCCCGGGAAUUUCUUACUCUAUCUCUGCUCCCACUCCAGGGUUGUUAAAAAGCUUGGGAUUACACACGACUGAGUCAGCAGAGGAGAGAGACUGGGGCAAAAUGUGCGAAUUAAUCCUAGGCAUCUGGCUUAUGACAAGUCUUUCUACGCCAACAGAUCUUUGAAUGCAGUUUCUUCUGGAGCCUCGGCUAUGUGUGGCAUUCCCUGAUUCUCACAGAAGCAUGGUCACUUCCUCCUGCUGAGACACAAUGCCUGGCACCUACAGUUUAUGGGGGGAGAGGUUUACUGAUGCUCAGUUUCAGGGAUUCAUUCCAUAGGCA
This 336-nucleotide long non-coding RNA is filed under the name Fukomys damarensis (Damara mole-rat). Its description in RNAcentral is "lncRNA (ENSFDAG00000024884.1)". The record is from RNAcentral. Lineage: Eukaryota; Metazoa; Chordata; Mammalia; Rodentia; Bathyergidae.